UCAUGAACCCUAAAUAUACAAACAUAAAUGCUUUAGUAGGGCUUGUGCAUUAAAACUGCUUUACCAAGUAUUGCAUUUAUUUGGUUGUUGUAAUUUGGGCCCUUUCCGACUUUAAGUAUGCUUUAUAAAGCUCUUAAAAGUUGUGUCACUUUAAAACAAAAUCUGAUAGCACACUAUAGAGCAAACUUAAAGUAUUCAUAUAUAGCUUCGUGGUUACUUGGGUGGCUUCUCUUUCUUUAUAGAGAUAAUGUUCAAAAAGGAAUUCUGCAGGAAGAAUCAUGUCAACCUAGCAGGAUCGUCGAAUGUUACAGUUCUCAUCAUAAUAUACUCCCAGAAAAUUAGAAAGACUUAAAAACCUCUGAUGCAAAUACUCUGCAAUCAUCAUUUUAAGGAACCCGGAAAAAUCAAGGACGCUUACGUUCUUGUUUUAUUUUAUUAUACUAAUAUAAUAUAAUAAAGGGGCACAAUAUUUGAAUAUAUUUCACUGAACUUCGUCAUCAAUUUUAGAAACAAUUUAAAACAAAACAAACCAUUUGCAAUUACCUAUAUAUGAGUUAAAUAGUUUACCCAUUUAUGAGUAAAUAGUUCUCCUUUGACAACAGCGAAAAAAACAACCCA
Aedes aegypti (yellow fever mosquito) is the source of this 618-nucleotide long non-coding RNA. RefSeq lists it as uncharacterized. Lineage: Eukaryota; Metazoa; Arthropoda; Insecta; Diptera; Culicidae. The transcript is spliced from 2 exons. The record is from RefSeq and is a predicted model, not a curated record.